CAUGUACUCCCUCCGUUCGAAAUUACUUGUCUUGGAAAUGGAUGUAUCUAGAACUAAAAUACGUCUAGAUACAUCAGUUUCUGCGACAAGUAAUUCCGAACGGAGGGAGUACUCC
Molecule: non-coding RNA, 115 nt
Organism: Triticum urartu
Lineage: Eukaryota; Viridiplantae; Streptophyta; Magnoliopsida; Poales; Poaceae
Source: Rfam